UGCUGCAGUGGCUGCCAUGAAUUCUGAUUCGCAUGAUGAUAGUGCCACUGUUUGUUUGAUAUCUUCGUUUUCCACACAUUCUCUUAUGAAGUGAUAGCGUGUGUCAAUGUGCUUGCUUCUUCCGUGAAAGACUGGAUUUCUCAUAAGUGCUAUUGCUGAAACGUUAUCUACUCUGAGUGUUAUCUUUUCUUCCUUCCAGCCUGUGAUUUCACUUAACAAUCUUUUAAGCCAUAGUGCUUGACAUGCUGCUGCAGUGGCUGCCAUGAAUUCUGAUUCGCAUGAUGAUAGUGCCACUGUUUGUUGCUUCUGUGUACACCAGGUUAUAGGUGAUUCUCCAAAGUAGAAUAC
Molecule: long non-coding RNA, 348 nt
Filed under: Helianthus annuus (common sunflower)
Lineage: Eukaryota; Viridiplantae; Streptophyta; Magnoliopsida; Asterales; Asteraceae
Description: sRNA HanXRQr2_Chr16g0724271
Source: RNAcentral